GAUUUCUGACAUUAAUGCGUUUGGCCCGCUACGGUUACGUAUGUGAGUGCCGAAUCGUGUUUGUCAUCCUUCUAGAAAAUGUUAGAGUAGCUCUUUAUUGAGUUACACUAUACACAAUCUAGAUCUUUUACUUUGAAAAAAUUAGAGUGUUUAAAGCAGGCAUAUUUGCUAUGAAUACAUUAGCAUGGAAUAAUAAUUUAGGACUUUGGUUCUAUUUUGUUGGUUUCUAGAACUGAAGUAAUGAUUGAUAGGGAUAGUUGGGGGUGCUCGUAUUCAGUGGCCAGAGGUGAAAUUCUCGGAUUCACUGAAGACGAACUUAUGCGAAAGCAUU
This 331-nucleotide ribosomal RNA is filed under the name Allantion sp. RNAcentral's name for it is "SSU rRNA". The stretch from base 113 to 331 matches the Rfam family "Eukaryotic small subunit ribosomal RNA", at positions 737 to 955 of the family's 1831-position model. Lineage: Eukaryota; Cercozoa; Glissomonadida; Allapsidae. The record is from RNAcentral. RNAcentral also lists the same sequence under 1 other name.